CUGGGGGCCAAGAAAACUGCAAACGUCAAUUAUAUUUUCACUAAUAUGAUAGGGCAGAACCAGAGGUGCUUGCAGAGGCGUAUCUGGGGGAACAAUUUUCAGAGGAGCAUCUUAACCCUUUCUCUGCCUUCCAUUUCCUCCAUGAUACAUUGAACGCACGCCUGAGAACACCAGCUAAGGAAGAGGGGAUGCAGAAAGCGAAAGGGGAAAUAAACACUCCUUAGCUGCAAACCUCAGCUACCCACACCCACUUUGAAUAGUUUAGUGAGGAGAGUUCCCAGAUUUCUGCAUGCUGACAGUAUCUAGUUUGAUCCUAAACCUUCAGUCAGAUACAGUCUGCUCCACAUGGUUCCAUAUUUACCUGAAGCUGUCUGGCAUCCAUCCCUAUGAAAUCAUUGUGCAUGUUCUGGAGAGAUUUGCAGGGUUACUUUUUGAAAGUGCUAUAACCGUCUUCUACAUAAGCUGUCAUCUCUCCCCUUCUACCUCCCUUUCCCAUUUCUUUAGAAAUUAAAUCUGUGGACAGACGGGGAGUUGUAUCUUGCCUCUAGUGGAGAUGCGUGUCAAUCUGUGCAUUUGACAACUGUGGCUCCAUCUUAGCAUACCUGUCAACUGUCCCUUAUUUGGCAGGAAAGUCCCUUAUCCCAGCGCUGUGUCCCGCUGCUGUCCCUUAUUGAUGAUGUCCCUUAAAUUUCCCGGGUUUCAAAGGAAGCAGCUCCUCUCCCUCCCCGCCGCCGGCCAAGGAGGAGGGAGGCUCCAACUGUGUUGCUUGGCUGCGUUGCUCACCCAAUAAGGAGUCUAAGAACGACUGGGGGGUGGAGCUUGCAUGCCUUUUGCCAAUCAAAUCGGCUGCAUUGCCUGGGGACUCGCCUUUGCUCAGCGCUUCCCAGCGGAGAGAUGACGGUGGUUUUCCUUGCUGCAUCCCCUUUGCCGGGUUGCUGCGCUGUGGGAACCACCGCUUGAGGCUUCGUUUGGCUGCUGGAUGGACUUUCUGCCUUUGGCUUGGAGGGGCUCAGAAGCUGAACAUACCUGUGCUUGGAAAAUCCCUUAUUUUGGCUGCUGAUCCCUUAUUUUUGAGGCUGCUGGUCCCUUAUUUUCAAAUCUGUAAGUUGACAGCUAUGCAUCUUAGUGCGAUGCUAUUUCACAUGCUGCUGCUGGUGAAGUUUAUUUUGAAGUGUCAGUAACUUAUUAUAGCAGGUAUCUUCUGUUGGUUGCAAGGGAGAAAGUAGGUAUAAGAAAAAGAAUUACCUGGAUGCCAAGAUCCCAAGUACCCCAGCAGAGAUUUAAAAUCACAAAAUAUGUAGCAAAGUGUGGAAAUAUAGACCUUUAAAAUAUGCCUUUGUGAGUCCCAAAACUUCCCUCUUCCUCCAGCAUAGGUGAAGGCCACACGUUUUGCAAGUGUAAAAUUGGUUUAUUUACAAACUCUUCAAAGGUCUGGUUCAUGUGCUUUUCCAUACGGCAUUCAGAAAAAGUUGCACAGGCAGUAGAACUUGGCUUAGUUCCAAUGGUGAAAGUUCCUAAACUAUUGAUAUACGAACUUAAGAGCCAUGUGGUCUGAACUGCAACAACCAGCUCAGACCUCCUCACACUUGGAGAUUAUCAGGUAGACUGAAGGUGUGUGUGUGUGUGUGUGUGUGUGUGUGUGUGUGUGUGAAAAGGCUUUUUAAAAAACCAUAUAUUUGUAUGGCAGGUGGUGCUGUGGGUUAAACCACAGAGCCUAGGACUUGCUGAUCAGAAGAUCAGCGGUUCGAAUCCCCGCGACGGGAUGAGCUCCUGUUGCUCGGUCCCUGCUCCUGCCAACGUAGCAGUUCGAAAGCAUGCAGUGCAAGUAGAUAAAUAGGUACCACUCCAGCGGGAAGGUAAACGGCGUUUCCGUGCGCCUCUCUGGUUCACCAGAAGCGACUUAGUCAUGCUGGCCACAUGACCCAGAAGCUGUACGCCGGCUCCCUCGGCCAAUAAAGCGAGAUGAGCGCCGCAACCCCAGAGUCGGUCACGACUGGACCUAAUGGUCAGGGGUCCCUUUACCUUUACUGCUCCUGUUGCAACCUACUCCCCAGUUGUGCACCAGUGCAUUAUAUGAUACUAGUGUAUGUUGGCCGCAUACUUUUAAACAGAGGACACAUUCCUUUGUUGACUUUUUCUAAAGCUUAGCCUCCGGUGCAGCCCUUAGAGCUGGAGUGAACAAUUGGGGUCUACGUUCUCACGGGGUCCUUGCCACGGGAUCACAUUCAUCCAGUGCUUUACCAGCUGCACUGGCUCCCAGUGGAGUACAGGGUCAGGUUUAAGGUGCUGGUUUUGACCUUUAAAGCCCUAUGCGGCCUAGGACCCUCGUACCUACGGGACCACCUCUCCUGGUAUGCCCCAUGGAGGACCUUAAGGUCCACAAAUGACAACACUUUGGAGGUCCCGAGUCGCAAGGUGGUUAGAUUGGUCUCAACUAGGGCCAGGGCCUUUUCAGUACUGGCCCCGACUUGGUGGAACGCUCUGUCACAAGAGACUAGGGCCCUACGGGACUUGACAUCUUUCCACAGGGCCUGCAAGACAGAGCUGUUCCGCCUGGCCUUUGGUUUGGACUCAGUCUGACCCUUAUGUUUCCCUCCUCUUGUGGUUUUGAUCUAUCGGCUACUUUUAAAAUGAGGCUGCAUUUUAAAUUGCAUUUUAACCUGUAUUUUAAAUUGUUCCCUCCCUUAUGUUUUUAUUGUAAUUUUACUGGUGUUAGUCACCCUGAGCCUGGCUGUGGCUGGGGAGGGCGGGUUAUAAAUAACAUUUAUUAUUAUUAUUAUUUAUUUAUUUAUUUAUUACCUGGGGCAUCAGGCUUGCAUUUGUUGGGGAGGGAAUGCAGGGCUUGGGGAACAUUUAAUCACAUAUAUACUAUAUACUUCACAGCAUGAAACAUAUAUUUGGACUAUAUACUUCACAGCAUGGAACAUGCAACAACCGGUCCAUUCAUAGGCCCAAAUACAAAUUUCCAGGUCUUAGUGUGCUAAUAUUGAUAUUUGGGGAAAUAUGCAUGCAGUUGUGCAUCAAAGUUGUGUAAUGUGCUAUCAAUGCAACAAAAAUUAAGGCGUGCAAAUGUGGAACAAAUGGAUGAGGGUACUAAAAAAUGUUCCUUGCUUGGGAACCUUUUGCUGUUGGACUGAUUCUAUUCUGAAUUGUAGAAUCCACUAUUGACAUCCUGGGUCAUGGCAGAUAACCCUUUUGGCACUGUCCGGCCAGCUGUCUCGCUAAAUCUGGAAAUAAAAGCAGGGUUGAGACCCUAACACCUCUCAGUGUGGAAACCACGCUGGACUUUGACCUUUUUUGCUUUUGGAGCUGCAGACAUCUGUUAAGGGCUUUUACAUUCUGGACGCAUUUCAAAUUAAUACGAGCCGGAAGGCAGAUAGGAAUGGCCUUUGGAUCACAUGCUGGAUGGAUUGGCAUCAUGUGGGAUGAUAGGAAGUCUCUUCCCUCUGUGGAAUUCACAAGCCGGAUUCCAGUAGAGAUCAGCCCAUGAGAUCUGGAAUGUGCUAUCUAAGCAGCCUUCCAGGCAAUGAAUUCCCCUCCAGAUUUCAAUAGUUCAGCAAAACCAGGGAGAGAGAGAGAAAGGGAAUGCAGUUACUGAUGGAGCAUUUGAAAAUAGAUGCGAUCACCCGUCCUUCAGUUGUGUACAGUACGGUAAUCCUAUAAAUCCCAAAUCUGGCACUAGAUCUAUUAUUGCUUAGCGCUUCAGUUGUCUUAUUUCUGUGGAUGGAUUCAGUCAAUGGGGAGUUCUUUAAAUCUCCUGUUAAAAUACCAUUGUAAACUCAAUUUACCCACUGUUUGAUUCUAAACCCCCACCCCACCCCACCCCGAGAUCUGUCUUACCAUCCUAAUUGGUCAAGUGAUGUUUCUUUAGGAAUCAUUGUCUGAGCCUUCAGUUAUUCCUGCUAUUGAUGCGAGGCAGUUUCUGAAACUUGGUCAGCUGCAUAAAUAACACUUUGGUUCAGCCACAGCAUUUUCACUGCCCGAGAAAAAAGUUACUUCACCUUUGUCCCUUUGCACAUGCACAACUUGUUGGUGGCUUUUCUUUUCUUUUUUUAAAUAUUUUUUGAUUUUACAAAUAUGGAAUUAUAGCAAUCCAAAUUACAUAUCCAUAUUUAGAGAUUUCUCCAAAUCUCUGGACUUCACACCUUCCCCUCUAUGGGUCCUGUUGUACACCUUCUCAAAUGCAUAGUAUUUCAUAAUCUAUAUUUUAUAUCUCUCCAUAUUGUCCAUAAUAUUUGCUAUUUGUUGUUAGAAUCCUGCUGAUGUUUUCAUCUGCUUACAGUGGUCUCCUAGGUAAAUUGUAAAUUUUCCCCAUUCUUUGUCGAAGUUUUGAUCUUCUUGGUUCCUGAGCUUUCCGGUCAGUUUUGCCAUUUCAACAUAGUCCACCAGCUUAGUUUGCCAUUCCUCUCUGACAGGGACUUUGUCUCCUUUCCAUCUCUGGGCUCAUAGCAUCCGUGCAGCUGUCGUCGCAUACAUAAAAAGUCUUUUCUGCUCCCUUGGGAUAUCUGCACCUACAAUUCCUAAUAGAAAGGCCUCCGGGGUUUUCUUAAAAUAAAAGUUAAUUUAAACAUUCCCCCCCAAUUCAUUAUACAGUGGUACCUCGGUUUAAGAACAGUCCGGUUUAAGAACGAUUUGGUUUACAAACUCCGCUAAACUGGAAAUAGUGUCUUGGUUUGAGAACUUUACCUCGGUCUAAGAACGGAAGCCGAACAUUGGAAGGGCACCGGUGGCGGGAGGCCCCAUUAGGGAAAGCACGCCUCGGUUUAAGAAUGGUUUUGGUUUAAGAAUGGACUUCCGGAACGGAUUAAGUUAAUAAAUCAAGGUACCACUGUAUAUCAUUUCCCAGAAUGCUUUUACUACCUUACAAGACCACCACAUAUGAUAAAAGAGUCCUUCUUUUUUCUUUACAUUUCCAGCAGUGCAAUGGACUUCCACUUACUGGAAUCUGUGCUGGUGCAAAAUGAUUCUGAUGAAGGGCCUGGCCUGCUCAUGAUGUCAUGCACAGUGAUGUCACUUAAUAUGUGCAUAGGGUAAUAAAGGCCCUAGCAGGGUCAAGACUUAACAGUGGGGAUCACGCACCCCUUGCAUGACCCUGCAGGCAACAAGGAGUUCCUUAAGCCUGCUGUUCAAUGCUUCAGGUAUGCUUCUGGGCAUGCUUAACAACAACAACAACAACAACAACAAGAACAAGAACUUAUUUAUACCCUGCUCAUCUGGCUGGGUUUCCCCAGCCACUCUGGGCGGCUUCCAAC
RNAcentral lists this long non-coding RNA (5252 nucleotides) under Podarcis lilfordi (Lilford's wall lizard). The record is from RNAcentral. Lineage: Eukaryota; Metazoa; Chordata; Lepidosauria; Squamata; Lacertidae.